AGUUGCCGCUGCUGCAGCUGCUGCUGCCGGGGCAGUGGCCGCUGGGGGGUUGUCGCUUGGCGCCGCGCGCAGUCCCUAGCGCAACAUGCAGGAUCUUCCCGGCCUGACUGCUGCACCUCGAUCGUGAGUCGCCCCUGCCUGAGCGGCUUCCACCGCCUGGAAAAAACUAAGAAACUCAAGAGGAGUCAUCAGAAUUCCUGCCAUGUGGGAGUCAUCAACCCAAUGGGUGACUUCUUUUCUGCUCCACAUAUAAGAGGAUUACUUAGACCGAGCCAGGACAAUGAGAUUCAAUCCUGAAAUUUUUUUCAAACUUGGAAAGAGGAUCUCUUUUCCAUGGGAUUGAAAAUAGAGCUCCUGAGAACCUGCCUGAUGGAGAGUGCAACAUAGAGAAAAGCAGAACGAAGACACAGAGAGAAGGAGUUCCAUUUUGACUUCUAGAUCCAACCUUGCCUGCAGCUGAGCUUGUUCACUGAAUGGAGUCUCACUUUGUCACCCAGGCUGUAGUACAGUGGCGUGAUCUUGGCUCACUGCAACCUCCGCCUCCUGGGUUCAAGCAAUUCUCCUGCCUCAGCCUCCCAAGUAGCUUGGAUUACAGGCAUGCACCACCACACCCGGCUAAUUUUUGUAUUUUUAGUAGAGACGAGGUUUCGCCAUGUUUGCCAGGCUGGUCUUGAACUCCUGACCUCAGGUGAUCACCCACCUCAGCCUCCCAAAGUGCUAGGAUUACAGGUGUGAGCCACUGCACCCAGCCACAAUGCAACUUUUAAAAAAUGAAAUAAUUAUUAGCUUUUCUGGAAAAGCUUUAUCUCUUUUAACCUAUGAAAAGUAUUAAUAUUUGUCAUAAAAAAAGCUUUUGCAUUUUUUAGAAGAAACAGUGCUUCAUUUCUAUUAUAAAAGGAAAUUGUAGAAUAUUGUGAGACUCACCUGUGAAUGCUAUUUAUAUAGACACUAUAAUUUUAACACUGUAUAUGAAUAGAACCAAAGAAGAUUAAAUGAUUGUGCAUUUGUGUAGGGUGUAUUUGAGUUGGGGGACGGAGACUGGUUGGGGUUUGAGGAGUGGUUAAGAAAACUAAAUCUUAUCUUCAAUAGUAGGAAGUCAAUAGAUAAUAUUCAAAACUGAAAAAGAAAAACAAAACUUAAAUAGCAGAAAAAUCUGCUUAUUUGAAAAUAUGGAUGUAAAUACCAGUAAAAACUGCUUAAACUGUUGGAAAUUUUUUACUUUGGAAAUGGGAAUCAGAAGCUAGAAAGUGCAAAGCUGUAGAUUGCUGUUAUAAGCUAGUAGAACUCAGCAUAAAGUGAAUAUGUAUGACUUUGACAAAAAUAAAAAUAAAAAUUUUAAAUAAGAA
Molecule: non-coding RNA, 1346 nt
Organism: Homo sapiens (human)
Lineage: Eukaryota; Metazoa; Chordata; Mammalia; Primates; Hominidae
Source: RefSeq, a predicted model, not a curated record